GAUGGGACUGCGGCCUAUCAGGCUGUUGGUGGUGUGACAGACCACCAAACCUACAACGGGUACGGGCGAUGGGAGUCGGAGCCCGGAGAUGGGGACUGAGACAAGGCCCCAGGCCCUACGGGGCGCAGCAGGCGCGAAAACUCCGCAAUGCGCGAAAGCGUGACGGGGGAACCCCAAGUGCCGUUGGUCUUUUGAUCGACGGCUUUUCGAGAGUCUAAGACGCUCUUGGAAUAAGGGCUGGGCAAGUCGGGUGCCAGCCGCCGCGGUAAUACCCGCAGCCCAAGUGGUGGUCACGAUUAUUGGGCCUAAAGCGCUCGUAGCCGGGUCAACAAGUCCCUUGUGAAAUCGGACGGCCUAACCGUUCGGCUUGCAAGGGAUACUGUUGGUCUCGAGGCCGGGAGACGUCUGAGGUACUCCGGGGGUAGCGGUGAAAUGCUGUAAUCCUCGGGGGACCACCAGUGGCGAAGGCGUCAGACGAGAACGGACCUGACGGUGAGGGGCGAAGGCUAGGG
RNAcentral lists this ribosomal RNA (512 nucleotides) under uncultured archaeon. RNAcentral's name for it is "bacterial SSU rRNA". It matches the Rfam family "Archaeal small subunit ribosomal RNA", at positions 208 to 716 of the family's 1478-position model. The record is from RNAcentral.